CAGCCGCCGCGGUAAUACGGAAGGUCCAGGCGUUAUCCGGAUUUAUUGGGUUUAAAGGGAGUGUAGGCGGUCUGUUAAGCGUGUUGUGAAAUUUAGGUGCUCAACAUCUAACUUGCAGCGCGAACUGGCGGACUUGAGUGCACGCAACGUAUGCGGAAUUCAUGGUGUAGCGGUGAAAUGCUUAGAUAUCAUGACGAACUCCGAUUGCGAAGGCAGCGUACGGGAGUGUUACUGACGCUUAAGCUCGAAGGUGCGGGUAUCGAACAGGAUUAGAUACCCCAGUAGUCCCUGUCUCUUAUAU
RNAcentral lists this ribosomal RNA (301 nucleotides) under uncultured bacterium. RNAcentral describes it as "partial 16S ribosomal RNA". It matches the Rfam family "Bacterial small subunit ribosomal RNA", at positions 509 to 809 of the family's 1533-position model. The record is from RNAcentral.